Gossypium raimondii (Peruvian cotton) is the source of this 1169-nucleotide long non-coding RNA. RefSeq lists it as uncharacterized. The transcript is spliced from 2 exons. The record is from RefSeq and is a predicted model, not a curated record. Lineage: Eukaryota; Viridiplantae; Streptophyta; Magnoliopsida; Malvales; Malvaceae.
AGUUUUCCUUCUGGGCUUCAAUCAUAACUGUAUUGUUCUACCUAACUCAGGCCCCGUUCUUUAUUGCGUUUUAAAUGGACUUUUGCGUUAAAAAGUCCUUUUCUCUUAAAAGGAGAGAAGAACGGCCUCCAUCUUCUCAAAAAAUUCUCCAUCUCAAACGUCAUUUUCUCCUGAUGGAGAAGUUGAAAAAUUCACCAUCUAAAAAGCUUGAAGUGCUUUUGGCUGAUAAAUGACCAAAAUAACCUGUCUUCUCCCCCUUGGAAAAACGUUAUUUCCUCUGCUGUGAAAGUUCUAUACCCAUAUUUUUCACAUUUUCGCUGUGAAAGCUCCUUCCUGUUCUUUGUUCCUCUUCCGCAGGUGAGUUCGUUUUCUUCUUCUUCUCUUUAAUUAUUAGUUAUGCUUUGUUUUUAUUUACUUUUUAAUUCUGGCUUUUGUGCCUCUUUUACUUUACUGUUUUGUGCCUCUACUGCUGCGUUGCUCUGCCUCUUUUGUUUUGUGCCUCUUUCUGAAAAGAAAAAUGCCAGGGCUGGGUUACUGAAGAACUCUCAACCUCUGAAAAAAAAACAGAGAAGAUUUUAUACUUAGAAAAACGAAACGCGAUGCAGUGGAAUUUCUCUUCGGAUUCGGUUAAAUUUCAGUCUCCCUGUUGAUACUUAAUUUCUUUUCUGUAUAUUUCCUUUUUGUUUCGUGACAAUGUCCGGCGAAACGGCAUCGUCUUCCGGAAUCAUCUUGGAAGGAAUUGAUGAUGUGGAGGACUACGUUUCGGCGAAGCCCGAUAUCAAUUGCAGCUGCUGUUAUUUAUAUCAUAACACAGCUGUCUGAUGACAAGAAGCCUCUUAGAGGUUUGAUAUUUCGAUAUCUAAUUGGAAACCGAAGAGUGUGUUAAGAACUCCAACACUUUGGUUAAAGAUGGUGCUAAAAGAGGGCUCUUCGAGUUGCCCUCGGAUCAUCAUAAGGAAUUAGAAACCGAGUUAAAGAAGAUGGCGCCUGUUUCUGCUGUUAUUUAAGUAACAUUUUCAUUAUGUUACCAUAAAAGAAAGGGGUAGUAUAUGUUGCCUCUCUAAUAGGUCUAUUUAUAUCCACUAAUUGGUAUCUAUUUUAUUUUUUUGAUUUAGAACUUUGCAUUUCCUUUGGAUGCUCAACACAUAUAUUCUUUUUUGCGUUCUUCA